RNAcentral lists this ribosomal RNA (429 nucleotides) under Acidobacteriota bacterium. Its description in RNAcentral is "Acidobacteria bacterium partial 16S ribosomal RNA". It matches the Rfam family "Bacterial small subunit ribosomal RNA", at positions 355 to 776 of the family's 1533-position model. The record is from RNAcentral. Lineage: Bacteria; Pseudomonadati; Acidobacteriota.
UGGGGAAUUUUGGACAAUGGGGGAAACCCUGAUCCAGCCAUCCCGCGUGUGCGAUGAAGGCCUUCGGGUUGUAAAGCACUUUUGGCAGGAAAGAAACGUCAUGGGUUAAUACCCCGUGAAACUGACGGUACCUGCAGAAUAAGCACCGGCUAACUACGUGCCGGCAGCCGCGGUAAUACGUAGGGUGCAAGCGUUAAUCGGAAUUACUGGGCGUAAAGCGUGCGCAGGCGGUUCGGAAAGAAAGAUGUGAAAUCCCAGAGCUCAACUUUGGAACUUCAUUUUUAACUACCGGGCUAGAGUGUGUCAGAGGGAGGUGGAAUUCCGCGUGUAGCAGUGAAAUGCGUAGAUAUGCGGAGGAACACCGAUGGCGAAGGCAGCCUCCUGGGAUAACACUGACGCUCAUGCACGAAAGCGUGGGGAGCAAACAGG